Molecule: ribosomal RNA, 371 nt
Filed under: uncultured Bacteroides sp.
Lineage: Bacteria; Pseudomonadati; Bacteroidota; Bacteroidia; Bacteroidales; Bacteroidaceae
Description: bacterial SSU rRNA
Rfam family: Bacterial small subunit ribosomal RNA
Source: RNAcentral
GCUCAGGAUGAACGCUAGCUACAGGCUUAACACAUGCAAGUCGAGGGGCAGCAUUGGAGUAGCAAUACUUCAGAUGGCGACCGGCGCACGGGUGAGUAACACGUAUCCAACCUGCCGCUUACUCGGGGAUAGCCUUUCGAAAGAAAGAUUAAUACCCGAUGGUAUAAAGAGUUCGCAUGUUCUCUUUAUUAAAGAAUUUCGGUAAGCGAUGGGGAUGCGUUCCAUUAGAUAGUUGGCGGGGUAACGGCCCACCAAGUCUACGAUGGAUAGGGGUUCUGAGAGGAAGGUCCCCCACAUUGGAACUGAGACACGGUCCAAACUCCUACGGGAGGCAGCAGUGAGGAAUAUUGGUCAAUGGGCGAGAGCCUGAA